AACGAACGCUGGCGGCAUGCCUAACACAUGCAAGUCGAACGAGACCUUCGGGUCUAGUGGCGCACGGGUGCGUAACGCGUGGGAAUCUGCCCUUGGGUUCGGAAUAACAGUUAGAAAUGACUGCUAAUACCGGAUAAUGUCUUCGGACCAAAGAUUUAUCGCCCAGGGAUGAGCCCGCGUAGGAUUAGCUAGUUGGUGAGGUAAAGGCUCACCAAGGCGACGAUCCUUAGCUGGUCUGAGAGGAUGAUCAGCCACACUGGGACUGAGACACGGCCCAGACUCCUACGGGAGGCAGCAGUGGGGAAUAUUGGACAAUGGGCGAAAGCCUGAUCCAGCAAUGCCGCGUGAGUGAUGAAGGCCUUAGGGUUGUAAAGCUCUUUUACCCGGGAUGAUAAUGACAGUACCGGGAGAAUAAGCCCCGGCUAACUCCGUGCCAGCAGCCGCGGUAAAU
Molecule: ribosomal RNA, 451 nt
Filed under: uncultured bacterium
Lineage: Bacteria
Description: bacterial SSU rRNA
Rfam family: Bacterial small subunit ribosomal RNA
Source: RNAcentral